Molecule: long non-coding RNA, 5938 nt
Organism: Hypanus sabinus (Atlantic stingray)
Lineage: Eukaryota; Metazoa; Chordata; Chondrichthyes; Myliobatiformes; Dasyatidae
Exons: 3
Source: RefSeq, a predicted model, not a curated record
GCGUUGCCCAUGCUGAGGCAGACCUGCCCGUUGAGCUGCAGGCCCAGCCGGCCGCCCUGCGUGCUCAGGCAGGUCCGGCAGUAGGACACGGUCUUGGCGAACUCGCACAGCUUCUCGUUGCUGCGGGCCAGGUUGAGACCCUACCAAUAGAGAUGAAUCAAAAUCAAUUCAAUGAAUGGAACAAGAUGUUAUCAAGGUAUAUUUGGCAAGUGAGGUACGGCUCAGGAACCAGUCCUGGCUCCAAUCCUCUCCUGUCUUGUCCCAGGAUGGACAGAAGAACUGAAACCCUUGAGAGUGAGACAAAGUGACUGCCCAGGACAUCCAGGGAAGUGGCAUCAGGUAUCUCAAUGGAAACCAUUGGGGAGGAGUCAUGAGCCAGCAUGAUAGAAUGAUAGACCAGUCACAAUUGCUGUCAUAGCACAGAGUACUGCCACAGGCACUUGACCUUGGAGAUGAUUCUUUUAGGCAGUUAUCAGUGAUGGUCUGGUCUAUUCAGCAUCUCUAAUGAUAGAAACAUAGAAAACCUACAGCACAAUACAGGCCCUUCAGCCCACAAAGCUGUGCUGGAUACAUCCCUACCUUAGAAAUUACCUAGUGUUACCAAUAGCCCUCUAUUUUUCUAAGCUCCACGUACCUAUCCAGGAGUCUCUUAAAAGACCUUGUCAUUUCCGCCUGUACCACUAAUAAUGAAAGGUGAUCUUUGAUGAAGAAUUGGUGAUAAUCAAUGAUCAGCGUCCAGUUCCAUUGGUAUCCUCAGCAAAUUAAUCAGUUAAAGCCCUCAGCAGGACGUUAGGGUUGGCUGGCCAGUAAGAUUUGAACCAGGCAUCACGUCAUCAACGAGAGUAUCUCACCAUUUAUCCUUGAAGAUGGGGUGCAGGGCCACGAGCGACUAUUUCUCACCAAUUGAAACAUCAAGGUGAAUGCGGAGGAGGCCGGGUCGGUGGUCACUCCCCAUGGGAGGCCGCAUCUUGAGGAACUAAGGCUCCACAGGACUGUGUUCAAGCUACAACUCUCCUCAAUGUUGACAGAGGAUGUUUUUGAAAUUCUGAGACACAUGAUUAUUGUUUCUAUUUUAUAGUUUUUCUGUGGUUUAUAUUAGUCUCCUUCAGUUUUUCUCUUCUUGUUGCUGAUUGGCAGGUGGGCGGUACGUUACUUCUUUUUGGGGUGAAUUUGAUGUUAUUUUUUGUGUGGGAGGGGCUUGGAGUUAAGGGUUUGGUGGGUAACCUGUUAGUUUUUCUGUGAAGGAGAGACUGGGGAAGUUUGGGGCUUGCAAUAUUUGUUUAUUUUUCUUUUAGACCAUGAGGGUGUUUUUUCUGUAUUUCAUGGCUAUCUGGAGAUGAAUCUCAUUUGUAUUUGGUGUACAUACUUUUGAUAUAAAAUUAACCUUUGAAUCCUUGAUGUUAAGUGACAGUGCCACUGCUAGGUCCUUACAUUGAAAGGGGUUGAGAUGGGGUACCAUUUAACAGCAUGCUAACUGAACCCUGCACUGACAUACCAUGGUUACUUGGCAAAAGUGUGGUCUUCCAGUCGAGUGCAGACCUUCAUUCAUGCAGCCACAUAAUCAAGCAGUUAGCAGCACAACCACCCAUUCAGUCUAGUGGUGUAUCAGCUCAGUGCGCACACCUGUGAUGCACUGUGAAAUACUGGCAGGGUUUGUUCCUCCUGUCACCUUCAGCCCAGAGAAGGCAGCAGGCAAGCAGACAGGAACAGCAUCUCCUUGCUUUCCUUCAACUCAACUGCAAAUACUGCUAACACUAAACUGAAGUGGGAAGCGGGUACAAGUUAUUGUUCAGCCAGCUGUGGGAGUGUGCAGACUUGUAAUGGAUAUUGGUGGUUCUUUUAGUGGCAUCUGUGGGGACAGAAUUUCUUUCCAAGUCAUCAGAUCUCCUUCCCAAUUCUCAUGGGAAAUUUAAAACUUUGGCUGUUUCUUUCCAUGGCUGCUGGCCUGAGGAAGGUUUCCAGCUGCAACUGCUUUUAUUUCACAUUUCCAGCAACUGCAGUUUUGAUUUUAAUUGCAUCUUCAACAAAAUCAAUAUUGCAAUAUUGUUGAUGUUGAGAACCUUCACUUUUUGAAUAUCUCUCUGAAGCUUUGUCUGAAAUGUACUCAAAUAUGAUUUAACCUUUGCAAAAAGACUGAAUUAAGAUAUUGACUUAAGUUAAAAGAUUUCAAGUGAUAGUCUCAACAUUACACCCCAAAAUUGGAAAGAAAUGUAGAAUUGCGACACAGCAUAAUGACAAACUUCUAUAGAUAUGUAGAGAGUAUCGAUUGGUUGCAUCAUAGUCUGCUACUGAAACACAAAUGCUAUUGAGCAGAAAAUCCUUUGAAAAGGUAGUGGAUAAGGCCCAGUCCAUCAUGGGUAUAUCUUUUCCCAUUGAGCACAUCUACACAGAACACUGUCGUAGGAAAGCAGCAUCAUUAAGGACCCCCACCACCUUGGCCAUACUUUCUUCUCGCUGCUGCCAUCAGGAAGGUACAGGAGCCUCAGGACUCACAUCAGCAGCUUCAGGAAGUUAUCAAGAGCCAUCAGGCUCUUGAAUCAAUGGGGAGAACUUCACUCAUCUCAUCACUGAACUGUUCCCACGACCUAUGGUCUCGCUUUCAAAGACUCCACCUCAGUUUCUUACUAUUUAUUUCUUAUUAUUUUCUAUUUUUUUCUUUUAUAUUUGUAGCUUGUUACCUACCACCAAGCUUAAAUGACAGCUUCUAUCCUCCUGUUAACAGACCUUUAAUGGACCUCUCAUAUUCUAAAGGUGAAUUCCAUCUCAGUCAACAUCACGAACCUUGUAUUUUGCUUCCCUGCACUGUCUAUGCAACUACAUCACUAUAUUCUGCUUUUUUUUCCUUUGCACUGCUGUGAAGUUAGCAAGGAAUGAUCUGUCUGGAUGGCAUGCAAAUCAAAAAUUUUCACUGUAUCAUAAGAGAUUUUCAGAAUUAGGCCAUUCAGCCCAUUGAGUCUACUCAGCCAUUCAAUCAUCCCUCUCAACCCCAUUCUCCUGCCUUCACCUUUGGCACCCUUAGUAACCCUGUACAAGUGACAAUAAUAAACUAAUUACCAUUUUAAAGAACUUCAACCUAUUUACUAUGGUUUCUUAAAUAAAAAAGACGAUUAAACCUUUGGAUGUAAAAGUUAGCCAAGUUAUGUUUGAAUUAUUCAGAUAAACACUUAUGUAGGAAAGACAUAGAAAGAUAUGGACCGAAUGCAGACAAAUAGGAUUAACGUAGAUAGGCAAAAAGUUUGGUUUGGGUGUGGUGGUUCAAAGUUGCAUCGAUCUUGGGUUAAAAUUCUUUAGAUCUUUAUCUAACUUGUUGUGAUGGUGCCUUCACAAGCACUCUUUGCAGAUUCACAAUAAAUGAUAAUUGCUGUACAAAAAAAGCAAUUCUCACACUCCAGGAAUGAAUGAAAACAAAGACUGAUCCACAUUGAAUGACAUCUUCCAUAGACAGCCACGUAUUAAAGAAAGGAGGCAAGUGACAGAAUCUUCUCAAACUGUUUAAUAGUAAAUGCUAAACAAGGUACCACAGUUUCAUAUAAAAUGUCUGCAAAUCUGUGUGUGCAGUUUAAAAAAAACUUAGUACCUAGUCAAGACAAAAAUAGUAAGAAAAAUCUGAAGCAAAUACCAGCUUUAUUCAAACUUGCAACACUUUGCCAUACCUCUACAGUUUGCUCCAAAACAACUUACAAGUGGUUCUCUUCCAUCUUUUCUAAUUAACUCAAUGAAUUGUCUCAAGGUUACAUCACACAGAAAAGAAAAUACACACAGAUAAUAACACUUCAGGGGAAAAAAAAGCUUUUUCUUUGUAAUGAGAGCAAAAUUGCAUCUUACUUUAGUAGAGAGGUUUGGUCAUUGUGGCAAACGUUUAGAAAUCAAUAUCAUUCACAUUUGUUAAUCAUUUUAUAAUCCUCGUAUAAAAGGCAAAGUUGUACAAAACCUACAGAGUUAAAUACAAUCAGUUUGUACCAAAAAAAGCCCACAGGAUUCUAAAAUGUUUGUUAACUUACAAAGCAGCAAGGGUUUGGAAAAACAGUCACUGAAAUAUUUGUUUUCAAUGCUUACAUUAUCAAAAGAUAACAAGAUGGCAAUUAAAUAUUCAUGAAGCAUUUUCCACAGGAUUCUGGCAAAGACCACUGAGUACUUGUGAAGAAGCUGGAGGAUUGGCAAUGGAACUGUGCUUGGGUGAGACAGCAAUCCCCUCCAGCAUACAUCAUCCCUAAUACCCCUUCAACUAUACCCUCUAGUCAGUGGCAGUUGUGAAGGACCCUGGCAUGAGGUCUGGGUUUAUCACACUGGGGCACUUACUGCGCUAAGUGCUCAGCUGGAAGAGGAGACUGAGGCUGUUUCACAGACAGUAAUCCAAAUAGGCUGCAAGUAGUUUCACUGUGCAGCUAGCCUCUGCAGCCAGGUCUGGUCAAAAUCAAUCCCAAAUGGCAGACUAGUUAAUCAGUGCACUACACCCUGGAACAAUAGAUCAGCAGAGGGGAAGUUGAUAAAACUGUUCAAAUAAUGCUUCUUCAUUCAGUAAAUAAUUUGUAGGUUUAGCUAUUCUUACUGUGUAUUGGGAUCUCCAUAACCAGCUGUAGUCCUGCCCUGUCAUCUGCUUACUUGUGCUGGUGGGUGCAGUCAUAGGGCAUUUAGUGGGUCAAAGGAUGAGGCAAAAUAACCAAUGCCAGUGUCAAACCCAGAAAACCCGAAGGUGGGGUUGAUUUAGGGAGGAGCAGAUUUGAGGGGAGUGGACAGUGUCUGAGAAUUUGUGGCUGGUGUAUUUUGGGUGGAGGUUGAACAGUUGGUACUUGAGGAUGAAGUGCAUGGCUGCAGAUGGAUGGCACAUUAAUGCUAGUGGAUGGUGGGGGAAAUGGAGGAAAGUUAAGGCUGGGUUGGAGAGAAGUGAGUGUUUUUUAGGGAUACAGUUUGGUGAUGAGGAAGCGACACCAACCAGAUGCCUGCGACAGGAUGGAGUAGGGAGGGAAAGGCAGAGGUUAACUCUUGGCGCUACCUCAUACCAUUUGGUAACUAGUCAUGGUGACCAUAGUGGGAAAACACAUUUGUCAUGUAUCCAAUAAUCAACUCAGCCCUUGCAAAACGUCUCACUUCCAAAACUGACACAGCCACUGGGAUUACUUUGUGGAAAGUCAGCUAACUCCCCAAAAUCUUUAAAACCAAACAAUCUGUAAACAAAAACACUGCACACAUACCAGCAGGGCAGCUGGGAACCGCUUUAACAUCAGGGUCAAAGCGAACAGAGGGGUGGGCUUCAACUGGAUGUUACCUGGUCUCCCCACUGUAUUUGCCAUGAGACAGUUCAAAAAUAUACUUUAUUUAAACCUCCAACUCAAUUGUAUUUUUCCUUUAUCAAACAGAAAAUUCAAAGUCAGGAAGACAGAAAAGCUGUACAAAGUGUAAAAGGCUGUAACAUGCAAAUAACACUUGGCACUAAAUCAAUUUAACAAUUCACAUCACAUCUUGCUGAGGGUUUGAGCAUAGAUACAAUACAUGCAAGGUAUAAUCAGACCAAACUUGACAACAUUAAACUAAAGACUUCCUUAUUAUUUCUUCAAACUUUUGCUUCAGACACUUACUGCUAACGUUAGAAAACCAAAGUGCCAAAAAAAAACCCCAAGGGAAGUGGGCGACACUUUGUAAAAGCUAUUCAAGUAUUUCUUUAUUGAUGUCACUCCAGUAUUCUGAGGAGGGUGGGACAUGGAGCAAUGAGAAGUGGGAGUGGGGUAAAGGAAGGAGUGGAUGAGGGGGGGAGAGGGGAGUAGGGAUAAGUGAUAGACGGGGUAAGGCAGGGGGAGGCAGUUGUAGGUAGAAGGGGUUGAAGAUGUGGAUGGGAAGGAUAAGGGACAGACCAGAAGGGGAAGGGAGUGGUGAAUGGCACAAAGAGUGGCUGGGUGUUGGGGGGGGGGGGGGGGGGGAGAGACAGGAGGUGGAUAAAGAA